Hipposideros armiger (great roundleaf bat) is the source of this 943-nucleotide long non-coding RNA. RefSeq lists it as uncharacterized. The record is from RefSeq and is a predicted model, not a curated record. The transcript has 3 exons. Lineage: Eukaryota; Metazoa; Chordata; Mammalia; Chiroptera; Hipposideridae.
AUGACAGCAGGACGAGGAACGGGAGGGGAGGGGAGGGGAAGGUGGGGGGGACGCUGCCUUUGAUACUGGAUUCCCAGCCGCCGUAGCCGGCCUUGGAUGCAAAGUGCUCUCGGAAUGGCUACAAACCACCUCCAGAAAGAAUCAGGAAGCCAAGAUUGUAUUCUCCUCUCCUUUGAAGCUAUCCAGGGCUCUGAUGGUCCCCGAAGGUUUGUUCACACAAUGAGAAGGAAACUGCCAAUAACAGACACCUAACGAAAGAAAAAAUACAGAUGGCAAAUAAGCACAUGAAAAGACGCUCCACCUCAUAUGCCAUCAGGAAAAUGCAAAUCAGGACAAUGAGAAACCACUGCACUCCUAUCAGAAUGGCCAGAAUAGUGGACCUGAGGACAAGGAUGGAGGAGCAGAAAGCUGGAAGGCGCCAGGCGCCAGGCUGGUCCAUCCCAGUGCAGACCAGGGAAGAGCAGGUCCUGAGGACGCAGUCGGAGUGCUCACGUCGAAAGGACAGAGGAGAGGUGCUGGGUAGGGCAGCCUCGGGGCUCCAGGACACUGCUGGGAACUCAGAUGAGCUUUCAAAGUCCUAAAGGAUGUAUCUGCUGCUGUGCUGCCGCUGUGACACUGCCGUCACAGCAGUCACCACACUGCCCUGCCCCCAUCAGGGGAGGUCAGCCCAGAGGCACUGACUGCUGGCUCACCUGCUGAGGGAGAGGGGAGCCGUGUCAGCGCCAUGCUGUGCACACCCUGAAGUACCCAGAAUGCCCUGGGCAUCCUGCAGGCGCUGGUGCAGUGGGUGGCGCCUGAGAGUCUUCGUUUCUGACAAGCUCCUGAUCCAGCAACCACACGUGGCGAGACAGCUCUGUUGAGGUCUUUCUGAUCUUUAAUCUCUGACUGCUCUGUCCUCCUGAAGGAGCCAGGCAUUUCAAGGACUGUGGUGAAUAAACACACC